This 548-nucleotide ribosomal RNA is filed under the name uncultured Funneliformis. RNAcentral describes it as "SSU rRNA". It matches the Rfam family "Eukaryotic small subunit ribosomal RNA", at positions 548 to 1098 of the family's 1831-position model. Lineage: Eukaryota; Fungi; Glomeromycota; Glomeromycetes; Glomerales; Glomeraceae. The record is from RNAcentral.
UUGGAGGGCAAGUCUGGUGCCAGCAGCCGCGGUAAUUCCAGCUCCGAUAGCGUAUAUUAAAGUUGUUGCAGUUAAAAAGCUCGUAGUUGAAUUUCGGGAUCAAGGAAUCGGUCAUGCCUUGGUAUGUACUGGUUUUAUUGGUUCUCACCUUCUAAAAAACCAUAAUGUCAUUUAUUUGAUGUUAUGGGGAAUUAGGACUGUUACCUUGAAAAAAUUAGAGUGUUUAAAGCAAGCUUACGCUUGAAUACAUUAGCAUGGAAUAAUGAAAUAGGACAUCAGAUUCUAUUUUGUUGGUUUCUAGGAUCGAUGUAAUGAUUAAUAGGGAUAGUUGGGGGCAUUAGUAUUCAAUUGUCAGAGGUGAAAUUCUUGGAUUUAUUGAAGACUAACUACUGCGAAAGCAUUUGCCAAGGAUGUUUUCAUUAAUCAAGAACGAAAGUUAGGGGAUCGAAGACGAUCAGAUACCGUCGUAGUCUUAACCAUAAACUAUGCCGACUAGGGAUCGGAUGAUGUUAAUUUUAUAAUGACUCAUUCGGCGCCUUACGGGAAAC